AAUGGGUCAGCGACUUAUAUUCUGUAGCAAGGUUAACCGAAUAGGGGAGCCGAAGGGAAACCGAGUCUUAACUGGGCGUUAAGUUGCAGGGUAUAGACCCGAAACCCGGUGAUCUAGCCAUGGGCAGGUUGAAGGUUGGGUAACACUAACUGGAGGACCGAACCGACUAAUGUUGAAAAAUUAGCGGAUGACUUGUGGCUGGGGGUGAAAGGCCAAUCAAACCGGGAGAUAGCUGGUUCUCCCCGAAAGCUAUUUAGGUAGCGCCUCGUGAAUUCAUCUCCGGGGGUAGAGCACUGUUUCGGCAAGGGGGUCAUCCCGACUUACCAACCCGAUGCAAACUGCGAAUACCGGAGAAUGUUAUCACGGGAGACACACGGCGGGUGCUAACGUCCGUCGUGAAGAGGGAAACAACCCAGACCGCCAGCUAAGGUCCCAAAGUCAUGGUUAAGUGGGAAACGAUGUGGGAAGGCCCAGACAGCCAGGAUGUUGGCUUAGAAGCAGCCAUCAUUUAAAGAAAGCGUAAUAGCUCACUGGUCGAGUCGGCCUGCGCGGAAGAUGUAACGGGGCUAAACCAUGCACCGAAGCUGCGGCAGCGACACUGUGUGUUGUUGGGUAGGGGAGCGUUCUGUAAGCCUGUGAAGGUGUGCUGUGAGGCAUGCUGGAGGUAUCAGAAGUGCGAAUGCUGACAUAAGUAACGAUAAAGCGGGUGAAAAGCCCGCUCGCCGGAAGACCAAGGGUUCCUGUCCAACGUUAAUCGGGGCAGGGUGAGUCGACCCCUAAGGCGAGGCCGAAAGGCGUAGUCGAUGGGAAACAGGUUAAUAUUCCUGUACUUGGUGUU
Molecule: ribosomal RNA, 838 nt
Filed under: Escherichia coli
Lineage: Bacteria; Pseudomonadati; Pseudomonadota; Gammaproteobacteria; Enterobacterales; Enterobacteriaceae
Description: partial 23S ribosomal RNA
Rfam family: Bacterial large subunit ribosomal RNA
Source: RNAcentral